GCAGUCGACGGGCUUGAGGGGCUUGCUCCUCAAGUUAGUGGCGAACGGGUGAGUAAUGCAUCGGAACGUACCCAGUCGUGGGGGAUAACGUAUCGAAAGUUACGCUAAUACCGCAUACGUCCUACGGGAGAAAGCAGGGGAUCGCAAGACCUUGCGCGAUUGGAGCGGCCGAUGUCUGAUUAGCUAGUUGGUAGGGUAAAGGCCUACCAAGGCGACGAUCAGUAGCGGGUCUGAGAGGAUGAUCCGCCACACUGGAACUGAGACACGGUCCAGACUCCUACGGGAGGCAGCAGUGGGGAAUUUUGGACAAUGGGGGCAACCCUGAUCCAGCCAUUCCGCGUGAGUGAAGAAGGCCUUCGGGUUGUAAAGCUCUUUCAGCCGGAACGAAACGGUUCGCUCUAACAUAGCGGACUACUGACGGUACCGGAAGAAGAAGCACCGGCUAACUACGUGCCAGCAGCCGCGGUAAUACGUAGGGUGCGAGCGUUAAUCGGAAUUACUGGGCGUAAAGCGUGCGCAGGCGGCUUUUUAAGCCAGAUGUGAAAUCCCCGGGCUUAACCUGGGAACUGCAUUUGGAACUGGAAGGCUAGAGUGCGGCAGAGGGGGGUAGAAUUCCACGUGUAGCAGUGAAAUGCGUAGAGAUGUGGAGGAA
This 652-nucleotide ribosomal RNA is filed under the name uncultured bacterium. RNAcentral's name for it is "bacterial SSU rRNA". It matches the Rfam family "Bacterial small subunit ribosomal RNA", at positions 57 to 706 of the family's 1533-position model. The record is from RNAcentral.